CGGCUCCUCCCCGGGCCGGGCCCCGAUCGCGGCCAUGAGGCCGGAGCCGCGCUCCCGGGACGAGACCCUGGCCCUGCGGCGGCGGCUGGUCGGCUCUUCCUGCAAGCUGUUCUUCUCUAACGAUCCUAUGAAGAUCAUCAAGGCAAAAGGGCAGUACAUGUAUGAUGAGAAUGGAAGACAAUACCUUGACUGCAUCAACAACGUUGCUCACGUUGGACAUUGUCACCCUGCUAUAGUAAAAGCAGCCCAUGAACAAAAUCAACUGUUAAAUACGAAUUCCCGUUACCUUCAUGACAACUUGGUUGAUUAUGCAGAGAGACUUUCAAAAACUCUGCCUGGGAAGUUAUGCACCUUCUAUUUUCUGAAUUCUGGAUCUGAAGCCAACGAUCUUGCCCUACGACUGGCACGACAGUACACAAACCAUGAGGAUGUUAUAGUUUUAGACCAUGCUUACCAUGGACAUCUGACAUCCUUGAUUGACAUAAGCCCAUAUAAAUUCAGAAAUCUAGAAGGACAGAAGGAAUGGGUCCAUGUGGCUCCUGUUCCAGACACAUACAGAGGACUUUACAGAGAAGACCAUGAAGAUUCAGUAACAGCCUAUGCUAAUGAAGUGAAAAAUAUUAUUGAGCAAGCACAUAAGAGAGGCAGAAAGAUUGCUGCAUUUUUUGCUGAGUCUCUGCCAAGUGUGGGUGGUCAGAUCAUUCCACCAGCAGGGUAUUUUCAGAAGGCUGCAGAGCAUGUGCACAAGGCAGGAGGUGUAUUUAUUGCUGAUGAAAUCCAAGUUGGCUUUGGCAGGGUUGGCAAGCACUUUUGGGCAUUCCAGCUGCAGGGAGACGACUUUGUACCUGAUAUUGUCACUAUGGGGAAACCAAUAGGAAAUGGGCACCCUAUUGCCUGUGUAGCAACAACAAAAGAAAUUGCAGAAGCAUUUGCAGCCACAGGAGUGGAGUAUUUUAAUACAUUUGGAGGAAACCCUGUUUCAUGUGCGAUUGGAUUAGCUGUGUUAGAUGUGAUUGAGAAGGAGCACCUUCAGGCUCAUGCCACAGAAGUAGGCAAUUUCUUGAUGGAGCUACUCAAGGAGCAGAAAAUGAAGCAUCCCAUCAUUGGUGAUGUCAGGUAUCAGCACCUUAUUUACAGUUUUUAGCUGCUUUUUUGUUUGGUUCACACUCAAUCCAACUGAUGUGGUUUUAAGAUAUUCACUAAAUCAGUGUUUGCAGAAAAAAAAUCCAACAACUUGCUGUGCAUCAGAUUAAAACCAACUUGAAGCUUAUCAAAAGCCUGAUAUACUUUGCCACUUUGGGCCAGUACUGCUUUAUUGAUGUAUUAGUUGCUAAAGGAAUUCACUUUCCUGUUUGAACUCUUACUUCAAGUGCACAAAGAACAGACUUAAUGAGCUCAAUGGAAAAUAUGCUCAACACCAUGUCCUGCACUGCCAUUCUGAGCAGAUAAAAGUCUGUGCUGUAUUACUACGUUUCUUCAAAACAGCAAUAUCCUUUCUAUCACUAGCCAAACAUCAGGGGUUCUGGCUUAUUUAUUGGGGUGGACUUAAUCAAGGAUCAAGCAGAAAGGACCCCAGCCACAGCAGAAGCAGAGUAUCUAAUAACAAGACUUAAGGAAGAAUAUAUUCUAUUGAGUACAGAUGGGCCAGGAAAAAACGUGCUUAAAUUCAAGCCCCCAAUGUGCUUCACUAAGGAGGAUGCAAGAUUUGUUGUGGACACAAUUGACAAGCUACUAACAGAUAUGGAAAAAGAACAUCUGAACCAACAGAAAACAUCCACUUGUGCUACCUGAGCAGGUUUCAAACAAUGUUCAAGAUCAUCUACUAAGAAACACUAUUCUACUAUUAUUAUGCACAUUUAACCUUCAUCCUAGCAUGUCUUAGACCAGAUAAGUUACCUCUGAUUUUGUUAUUUUCAGUUAUCUUGUUAUUAGUAAAAGCUUUAGGGGAAAUAAAUUUUGCAAGAGCUUGUUUCAACUCUGGCAGAAGUGCGGAAUUGGCUUUUAUUUAAAACAGCAUUAUCUCAAAGUGAUUAUAAAGGAAUGUAUUUCUAGUAGCUGCUAUAAACUACAUGUUUUAAAUUCAUGCUCUUUCAGGUUACGACUUUUGCAAAUGAAGAUGAGCCAGUGGGUUCUCUCUUUAAAUCUGCAGCUACCUAUGCAAACACCAUUCUAGCUGCCCGUACACCCAGUCCUGCCCAGGCUCCUCUAACCAGUUUCAGAACAAGGUCCCCAACAACACUAUAUUCAACAGUCUCAGUGACCAGAUCAAGUCACAAACUUCAGUCCCAAAUCUGUAACAUCAAAUGCACGAGGAACAGACAGGGGAGGGCCACGGCUCCCAAACCGGUUCUUACAAGAUACUCUGUCCUCAAGAAAUCUCCAAGUAGGAUUAGUAAAUUAAGAGUUCAUUACAGCCAUAAGCAACAACCUUGUGUACAAGCCCUUGCCUUCACCAGGCAAUUACAUGUUGUGUCACAAACUCUUCAGGGAAAGAAUACAGGGAAAGCCAGCUCUGCAUUUAAGUACCAGUAUCCUCAAUU
Strigops habroptila (Kakapo) is the source of this 2540-nucleotide RNA transcript. It is a transcript of the gene named 5-phosphohydroxy-L-lysine phospho-lyase, with no coding region annotated. The transcript has 13 exons. The record is from RefSeq and is a predicted model, not a curated record. NCBI's taxonomy places the organism in Eukaryota, Metazoa, Chordata, Aves, Psittaciformes, Psittacidae.